Molecule: microRNA precursor, 78 nt
Organism: Cricetulus griseus (Chinese hamster)
Lineage: Eukaryota; Metazoa; Chordata; Mammalia; Rodentia; Cricetidae
Source: Ensembl
UCGGUGGUACUAUACCUCAGUCUUAUCAGGUGUUCCUUAAAAUCACCUGACAAUACUGAGGUCACGUUUCACUGAACA